Regulatory RNA element from Micromonospora echinaurantiaca, 65 nucleotides. It matches the Rfam family "L31-Actinobacteria ribosomal protein leader". The record is from Rfam. NCBI's taxonomy places the organism in Bacteria, Bacillati, Actinomycetota, Actinomycetes, Micromonosporales, Micromonosporaceae.
CCGGUUCCGGUUCACGCCCGAGUCCGUCGCGCGUAGCGGCGGGUGGCGACGGCGACCCGGCGACC